RNAcentral lists this ribosomal RNA (223 nucleotides) under Clostridioides difficile. RNAcentral's name for it is "partial 16S ribosomal RNA". It matches the Rfam family "Bacterial small subunit ribosomal RNA", at positions 1316 to 1533 of the family's 1533-position model. Lineage: Bacteria; Bacillati; Bacillota; Clostridia; Peptostreptococcales; Peptostreptococcaceae. The record is from RNAcentral.
CUACAUGAAGCUGGAGUUACUAGUAAUCGCAGAUCAGAAUGCUGCGGUGAAUGCGUUCCCGGGUCUUGUACACACCGCCCGUCACACCACGGGAGGUGGAGACGCCCGAAGCCGAUUAUCUAACCUUUUGGAAGAAGUCGUCGAAGGUGGAAUCAAUAACUGGGGUGAAGUCGUAACAAGGUAGCCGUAUCGGAAGGUGCGGCUGGAUCACCUCCUUUCUAAG